ACGAACGUUAGCGGCGCGCCUAACACAUGCAAGUCGCACGAGAAAGGGCUUCGGCCCCGGUACAGUGGCGCACGGGUGAGUAACACGUGGGUAACCUUCCCUUUGAUGGGGAAUAACCUUCCGAAAGGGGGGCUAAUUCCGCAUAAGACCACGCGGACGAAAGUUUGCGGGGUAAAAGCCGGCCUCUAUAUAUAAGCUGGCGUCAGAGGAUGGGCCCGCGUCCCAUCAGCUAGUUGGUAGGGUAAUGGCCUACCAAGGCAAAGACGGGUAACUGGUCUGAGAGGAUGAUCAGUCACACUGGAACUGAGACACGGUCCAGACUCCUACGGGAGGCAGCAGUGGGGAAUUUUGCGCAAUGGACGAAAGUCUGACGCAGCGACGCCGCGUGGGUGGUGAAGGCCUUCGGGUUGUAAAGCCCUGUGGGGAGGAAAGAAUAAGCCUUGGCUAAUAUCCAAGGUGAUGACGGUACCUCCUUAGCAAGCACCGGCUAACUCUGUGCCAGCAGCCGCGGUAAGACAGAGGGUGCAAACGUUGUUCGGAAUUACUGGGCGUAAAGCGUGUGUAGGCGGCUACAAAAGUCGGACGUGAAAGCCCCGGGCUCAACCCGGGAAGUGCGCUCGAUACUGUGUGGCUAGAGUUUCGGAGAGGUUGGUGGAAUUCUCGGUGUAGAGGUGAAAUUCGUAGAUAUCGGGAAGAACACCGGCGGCGAAGGCGGCCAACUGGACGAAAACUGACGCUGAGACACGAAAGCGUGGGGAGCAAACAGGAUUAGAUACCCUGGUAGUCCACGCCGUAAACGAUGGGUGCUAGUGUUACUGGGUUUGACUCCGGUAGCGCCGUAGCCAACGCAUUAGCACCCCGCCUGGGAAGUACGGCCGCAAGGCUAAACUCAAAGGAAUUGACGGGGCCCGCACAAGCCGUGGAGCAUGGGGUU
Molecule: ribosomal RNA, 934 nt
Filed under: uncultured bacterium
Lineage: Bacteria
Description: bacterial SSU rRNA
Rfam family: Bacterial small subunit ribosomal RNA
Source: RNAcentral